Cucurbita maxima (winter squash) is the source of this 559-nucleotide long non-coding RNA. RefSeq lists it as uncharacterized. NCBI's taxonomy places the organism in Eukaryota, Viridiplantae, Streptophyta, Magnoliopsida, Cucurbitales, Cucurbitaceae. The transcript has 2 exons. The record is from RefSeq and is a predicted model, not a curated record.
UUUACAUCGGUUGAGGAAGAGAACGAAACAUUCUUUAUAAUAAAAGUGUGAAAAGUUCUCCCGAACAGACACAUUUUUAAAAACCUUGAGUAAGGUCGAAAGGUAAAGCCUAAAAAUAGCACGUAGUGAGCUUGAGUCGCUACACCUUCCAUGAGGAACAGCUGAGCUAGAUGAUGAGACGAGACGAUGAGCUCAACCUUAAUGCUUCCACUAAUUGAAGAAGGGAAAGAAAAAGGUAAUACCAUCCAAUGGAAGUCUUGACUAAACCUCCAUACAUGUGAAAAAGAGCUCUGUAAGUUCUAAUGUAAAUUUGCAGCACAACAAUACUAAAAAGAACUAAGCUCAUGUUAAUGAGAUAUAUUAUUAUGAAUGAUAUAGACAAUGAAGCAAAUACUACUACUGUUCAUUGAUAUCUAAAUUUUACACCUGAAUAAUGUUUGAUCCAGAAACAAAUAUAUUCAAAAGAAUGGAGGUGUUAACAUAGUUCGACUUCAAAAGACGAGAAAAUAAAAGGCAAAGGCAAAUCAUUUCACGACCGACGAAUCUUUUUAUACGAAAA